RNAcentral lists this ribosomal RNA (273 nucleotides) under uncultured bacterium. RNAcentral's name for it is "partial 16S ribosomal RNA". It matches the Rfam family "Bacterial small subunit ribosomal RNA", at positions 524 to 796 of the family's 1533-position model. The record is from RNAcentral.
UACGAAGGGGGCUAGCGUUGCUCGGAAUCACUGGGCGUAAAGCGCACGUAGGCGGGUUGCUAAGUCAGGGGUGAAAUCCUGGAGCUCAACUCCAGAACUGCCUUUGAUACUGGCGACCUUGAGUCCGGGAGAGGUGAGUGGAACUGCGAGUGUAGAGGUGAAAUUCGUAGAUAUUCGCAAGAACACCAGUGGCGAAGGCGGCUCACUGGCCCGGUACUGACGCUGAGGUGCGAAAGCGUGGGGAGCAAACAGGAUUAGAUACCCCAGUAGUCC